RNAcentral lists this ribosomal RNA (498 nucleotides) under uncultured bacterium. RNAcentral describes it as "partial 16S ribosomal RNA". It matches the Rfam family "Bacterial small subunit ribosomal RNA", at positions 29 to 520 of the family's 1533-position model. The record is from RNAcentral.
AUUGAACGCUGGCGGCAUGCUUUACACAUGCAAGUCGAACGGUAACAGGCCGCAAGGUGCUGACGAGUGGCGAACGGGUGAGUAAUGCAUCGGAACGUGCCCAGUCGUGGGGGAUAACGCAGCGAAAGCUGCGCUAAUACCGCAUACGAUCUAUGGAUGAAAGCGGGGGACCGUAAGGCCUCGCGCGAUUGGAGCGGCCGAUGUCAGAUUAGGUAGUUGGUGGGGUAAAGGCUCACCAAGCCAACGAUCUGUAGCUGGUCUGAGAGGACGACCAGCCACACUGGGACUGAGACACGGCCCAGACUCCUACGGGAGGCAGCAGUGGGGAAUUUUGGACAAUGGGCGCAAGCCUGAUCCAGCAAUGCCGCGUGCAGGAAGAGGGCCUUCGGGUUGUAAACUGCUUUUGUACGGAACGAAACGGUCCUGGUUAAUACCUGGGGCUAAUGACGGUACCGUAAGAAUAAGCACCGGCUAACUACGUGCCGGCAGCAGCCGCGG